RNAcentral lists this transfer RNA (78 nucleotides) under Candidatus Omnitrophota bacterium. RNAcentral describes it as "Candidatus Omnitrophica bacterium tRNA-Arg". It matches the Rfam family "tRNA". Rfam says of the family: Transfer RNA (tRNA) molecules are approximately 80 nucleotides in length. Their secondary structure includes four short double-helical elements and three loops (D, anti-codon, and T loops). Further hydrogen bonds mediate the characteristic L-shaped molecular structure. tRNAs have two regions of fundamental functional importance: the anti-codon, which is responsible for specific mRNA codon recognition, and the 3' end, to which the tRNAs corresponding amino acid is attached (by aminoacyl-tRNA synthetases). tRNAs cope with the degeneracy of the genetic code in two manners: having more than one tRNA (with a specific anti-codon) for a particular amino acid; and 'wobble' base-pairing, i.e. permitting non-standard base-pairing at the 3rd anti-codon position. Lineage: Bacteria; Pseudomonadati; Candidatus Omnitrophota. The record is from RNAcentral.
GCGCCUAUAGCUCAACCUGGACAGAGCGGCUGGCUUCGAACCAGUAGGUUGGAGGUUCAAAUCCUCCUAGGCGCGCCA